UGCACCGUCGCCAUUUCCGGAGAGGGAAACGAUUCGUGGGUGGGGAACCGACUUGAUGCCGUGUGCUGAAACCCAUACAAAUAUCACUUGAUUAUCUGGAUUCAUCAGCUCUACAUCGUGCUUCCUCUAAGAUGUGAAUUGCAAUGUAGGAGGACCCCAUGCUUUUUGAUGCUAUGAAUGUACCCGGCACGUUGGUGGCUGCUGAAUGGAAAUUGUCUGGGAAGGGGCGGAGGCCAAUCAAAUAACAAAAGUUUUGGGCUUGUUCGUGUUGGGUCAUGAGGUUGCCAGGCUUUUCCUGUGGUUGCUGCCUGGAGAACUUGCAUGGAGGCUUUGUGCGGUGAAGUCGUGCUCAAUGUUAGCAACUUCCAUGCUUUUGGUUCCACUCUGGGGAUGCAUCAGUUUCGCUCUUGGGCUUGUCGGCGCCAGUUUUUCGUCGGCAGUUCGUGACGAUGUCUCAAACGGGGUUGGGGCAGUCUUUGGUGGCUGUUGAAGUGGAUUUCGUACCUUUAGGUGCUGAGUUUGGCGCAUGUGCGUUGGGACAUUGUAUUAGUAAUACGUCAUGCGGAUAAUCCAGUGUCCUUGUUCGACCCUUGGGUCUGCUGUGGAGAUUUUCUAUUGGUGUUGCCUUACGUGUUUGGUGUCGAUCUUUGAUGCUCCCAUCGAGUAGUUCGCUUUCGCGCUCAGGUUUUUGGGUGUCGGAUUUCGCGUCCGAUUGGUCUUCCAGCGUGUUUGUAAAACGUCGUUCGCUUUAUUCUGAGCCGGUUGCCGUUGUUCGUGUUAUCUUGACUGAAGAAAAGUGCUGAGUGGUUUUCCUCAAUGACGACAGUUGGCUUCAUAUAGGGAUUGUUCAUUGUGUUUUGAAAUUAAUGUCACGUUAAAUAUUGUUUAGAGUUCGCUGUGUCAGUUUUCCAUUGACAUAACCAUAAGGCUGCAUCAUGCUUGGCAGAUUUAAAUCGGUCGCUCAUCCUGUUCUGAAGCUGGAAUAUUGGGUGGUUUUCCCGUUCCAAGGACCUGUUUGGCUAGUUGUCGGCAACUGUUUGUGACAUCGAUACGUUCUGGUCGCUUGAUUCAUCGCUUAACCUUCUGUACAGCGUGUGGCGUUCUGGGUAUGCGUGCUUGGCUGUUGGUGAAUUCAAAGAUUAAGCAGGUUAAUUUGGUACGAGUGUAGCAGUGAUGUCUGAUUUACGGGUUGGCGUUGGUUCUGUUCGGCAAUUCAUCGAAUACGUUGUAUGUUAUUGAAUAACUCUACGUUGUAUGCUUUUUUCUGGUUUUUGUUUCAAUAAAACUUACGAUAUAUUCGA
Long non-coding RNA from Daphnia magna, 1301 nucleotides. RefSeq lists it as uncharacterized. The record is from RefSeq and is a predicted model, not a curated record. Lineage: Eukaryota; Metazoa; Arthropoda; Branchiopoda; Diplostraca; Daphniidae. The transcript is spliced from 15 exons.